This 22-nucleotide non-coding RNA is filed under the name Arabidopsis thaliana (thale cress). The record is from RNAcentral. Lineage: Eukaryota; Viridiplantae; Streptophyta; Magnoliopsida; Brassicales; Brassicaceae.
UUGAGCUUGACUCUAGUCCGAC